UUGCUAUUUGGGAUCGCAGCUGCUGCACU
Molecule: small RNA, 29 nt
Filed under: Bombyx mori (domestic silkworm)
Lineage: Eukaryota; Metazoa; Arthropoda; Insecta; Lepidoptera; Bombycidae
Description: ovarian small RNA-37901
Source: RNAcentral